Molecule: long non-coding RNA, 916 nt
Organism: Dromiciops gliroides (monito del monte)
Lineage: Eukaryota; Metazoa; Chordata; Mammalia; Microbiotheria; Microbiotheriidae
Exons: 5
Source: RefSeq, a predicted model, not a curated record
AAUAGAUGAGGAAAAACAAACAUACAGGUUAAAUGGAUAGCCGCCGGAAAAAAAUAUCCAAGAAUAAGACAAAGGACUGAAUUUUCUUGCAUUCUAAGAAUUCAUUUAACUCCAGGAUCACCUCCAUUGAGAACAAAAUGUGGAAGAGAAGACAGCAAAAAGUGUGGACCUCCACUGACUAUUAAGAAUGGAGAUACCAAUAGGCCUAUCAAAGAAAGAAUACCCACCAGGGUCUUUUGUAGAGUACAAGUGCCAACUGUUCUAUCUUCUAGAAGGAGACAAGAAAUCUUUUUGUGAAAGUGGGACAUGGACAGAUGCACCCAGGUGUCUAGAUCCAUGGUUUUGUUACAUUAGAAGAAAUGGCAGAGCAGAAACUGAUCCCAAAAGGAGGUCUAAUGAAAGCAUGUACUUGGAAGUGGGAGAUUCCAUUGAAAUUCACUGUAUAUCAGGAUACACACUUCAGUCCAAAUUGGAUUUCAAAGUGGAGUGUAAAAGAAAUCAAACUGUGUAUCCCAAAUGUAUAGAGAAAGGUCAGCUGCAGGAUUGUGAAUUGCCCCCAACAACUUCUGAAUGGGUAUUUUAUCUACUCGGUAAAAAGCAGAGAAUUUAGAGAUGGUGUGGCUAUUCAUUAUCGGUGUGAGAACAAUUUUGAACCUAAAUCACCAGUGAAAUAAUUUGCAGUAAUGGAAAGUGGCAACCUGAGCCAGAGUGUGUAGAUGUGGGAUGUGGAGUGCCUCCAGAGUUUGAGAAUGCUGAUAUUAUUGGUUCUAAAAAGCCCAGUUAUCUAUCUGGGGAAGCAGUGGCACUAUCAAAUGUCAUACAGGCUUCAAAAUACAGGUUCAAAACAACAUAACAUGUUCUGGAGGAAAAUGGACUGGUUCACCAUAUUGUUACAGUGAUUAUGGAUCUGGACAUU